Tachysurus fulvidraco (yellow catfish) is the source of this 604-nucleotide non-coding RNA. The record is from the annotation of a RefSeq genome assembly. NCBI's taxonomy places the organism in Eukaryota, Metazoa, Chordata, Actinopteri, Siluriformes, Bagridae.
UUGAUAUGGAGAUGAAACGGGGUGUGAGUGUGAUUAACAGCUGCAGAGCUGCACUCAACACAGCCUCUCUGUAAUGUUUAUGCAAAUCUGCAUCUCCUCUUGUAAUAUUAGCAGCGUUCUGAUCUAGAGAGGAAACACUUCUCAUUAGUCUUCCUUCAACACAAACAUGUUUGCUUCAGCUCCACUGCUGCUGCUGGCUCUCGCCCCCUAUGUGUUCUGUGCUACUGAGCUCAUCCAGCCAGACUCACUGCUUAUAAAGCCAGGAGAGACUUUAACCAUCACCUGUAAAGUGUCUGGAGCUUCUAUCACUGAUAGCAGCAGCCACUUUGGAACAGCUUGGAUUCGACAACCUGCAGGAAAAGCUUUAGAAUGGAUCAAUUUAAUUUAUUAUGAUGGAGAUAUUCGUCAGAAAGAUUCACUUAAAGACAAGUUUGUGGUCUCUCGAGACACUUCCAGUAACUCUGUGACCUUACGGGGACAGAACAUGCAGACUGAAGACACAGCUGUGUAUUACUGCGCUCGUGUAACACACAGUGACACAACAAGCUGCAGUGCUGCACAAAAACCUCAUCACAAUUCACUUCUUUAAUUAAAUAAUAACUAC